UAAUGAUUUCACAUUCCAAGAUUUUCUCACUGAAGGUAAGUAGUUAAAAGCAAAUUUGGGUUUGCAAGCUCUGCAGCUCUUCAAGUCUUUGAUGACACAGACACCAAUGUGGAGGAGGACAUCUUCCAAGAACUGAUUGAAGCCAAUCCACAUUUAUGUUUAACUGUUAAAUGUCUGGAAGAACUUUCUGCUGGCCUGCCAGAGGUGAAUACACCAACAAGAUCCUCGACCCCCAGCACAUGCACUGAUACUCUUUCAGUCUCUUCAGCUGACUAUGAUGAGGCAGACAUAGCAGUGAACAGGCAGUCUCCACGGGCUUGCAGCAGAGAGACAUU
Puntigrus tetrazona (Sumatra barb) is the source of this 335-nucleotide long non-coding RNA. RefSeq lists it as uncharacterized. The record is from RefSeq and is a predicted model, not a curated record. The transcript is spliced from 3 exons. NCBI's taxonomy places the organism in Eukaryota, Metazoa, Chordata, Actinopteri, Cypriniformes, Cyprinidae.